Molecule: ribosomal RNA, 535 nt
Filed under: Bacillus halotolerans
Lineage: Bacteria; Bacillati; Bacillota; Bacilli; Caryophanales; Bacillaceae
Description: bacterial SSU rRNA
Rfam family: Bacterial small subunit ribosomal RNA
Source: RNAcentral
CAAGUCGAGCGGACAGAUGGGAGCUUGCUCCCUGAUGUUAGCGGCGGACGGGUGAGUAACACGUGGGUAACCUGCCUGUAAGACUGGGAUAACUCCGGGAAACCGGGGCUAAUACCGGAUGCUUGUUUGAACCGCAUGGUUCAAACAUAAAAGGUGGCUUCGGCUACCACUUACAGAUGGACCCGCGGCGCAUUAGCUAGUUGGUGAGGUAAUGGCUCACCAAGGCAACGAUGCGUAGCCGACCUGAGAGGGUGAUCGGCCACACUGGGACUGAGACACGGCCCAGACUCCUACGGGAGGCAGCAGUAGGGAAUCUUCCGCAAUGGACGAAAGUCUGACGGAGCAACGCCGCGUGAGUGAUGAAGGUUUUCGGAUCGUAAAGCUCUGUUGUUAGGGAAGAACAAGUACCGUUCGAAUAGGGCGGUACCUUGACGGUACCUAACCAGAAAGCCACGGCUAACUACGUGCCAGCAGCCGCGGUAAUACGUAGGUGGCAAGCGUUGUCCGGAAUUAUUGGGCGUAAAGGGCUCGCAGG